AAGUCGUAACAAGGUAACCGUAGGUGAACCUGCGGUUGGAUCAUUACAAAAUGAUAAUUUCUUUACAAGUAGUAGUCUCUAUUUUUUUUUAGAGAUUCCUUGUAAGAAAUUCACUAACCCUUUGUGCACUGUAAAUGUUUUUCGAGUGAUUUUUUUAACGAGAAAUCACUCGGCAGUAUUUAAACCCCAUUUUUAAUUUUGACUGAAUUUUUUCUAUAAAAUGAAAAUAUAAACAACUUUUGACAACGGAUCUCUUGGCUCUC
This 263-nucleotide unclassified non-coding RNA is filed under the name fungal sp. Its description in RNAcentral is "partial internal transcribed spacer region". The stretch from base 1 to 46 matches the Rfam family "Eukaryotic small subunit ribosomal RNA", at positions 1786 to 1831 of the family's 1831-position model. The record is from RNAcentral. Lineage: Eukaryota; Fungi.